GUGAGGUUUGAAUAGUUUUCAGAAACACAAAGCAGUAGAAGGUGAAAUAGCACACCUUUGAAUCACUUGCAUAAAGGCAUUUUUACUAGAGUUAUCUAGUUAAUUGCUUCAAGUGAGUUUUUGUACCUUCUGUAUCCCCAGGAUUGUAGUUUAUCUUCUAACAAAUGUAGAACAAAGGGCUGGAGAUGUAGCUCAGAGGCAGAGCUCUUGUCUAUCGUGUGAGGCCCUGGAUUGAAUCCUUAGCACCACAGAGAAAAAAGAAAAAGUGUAGGAUAAUUAGGCCAUGUACACAGCCUAGCUUCUAGUUAAGUCAUUCAUGUUGCAUCCAACCCACUGGGAUAUUUUAAAGUGUGUUCCAGCUAUUAUGUCACUUCAUCCAUAUUUUUUUAUUUUUUGGAGUGGGGCUACUAGGAUUGAACACAGAGAUGCUUAACCACUAAGCCACAUACUCAGCCCUUUUUAUAUUUUAUUUUGAGACAGGAUCUCUCUGAGUUGCUGGGGCUGGCUUUGAACUCACAAUCCUGCCUCAACCUCCCGAGUUGCUGAGAUUACAGGCAUGUGUCAGCUCCAAGCGAUACCUGUUUUAAAUAAUUUCAGAUUUGUAUUUUAGAUCAGUAAACUCAGAGAAGUAGAGGGGAAAAAAAUUUUUUUAACAAAAGGUAGAACUUAAAUGACCUAGAAGAAUGGGAAGAGUCCAGUAGGGAAACAAUAUGAAAGAGAUCUUGGGAAUAAAGAAUGGCAUUUAUAUGAGGAGUUAUGAAAAAUGGUCUGAAGAGUAUCUGAUGUAAGGAUGGAAAUAAGAAAGGUAAUGCUGGCUUUGGUGCCUGAGGCUUUAUUGCAAAGGUUCCUUUUUUUUGGACAUUUUUAUUAUGAAAGUUUUUCUAAUAUGCAAAACCAUUAAGCAGUGAAUAAUUCUUAUACCCACUACCUAGAAUCUACAAAUAACAUAUCACAUAGUUCAUUUGUGGAAUGGCCCUUAUUUGCUCCUUGUUUUUAUUCUCUUGUCAUUUCUUGGAGAAAGUGUUCUUCCAUCAGAUGAGGUCAUCAUGUAGGAUGAUUAGGAGGUCUGGGUGAGUAUAAUGGGACUUAAUAAGUUGCCUCUGGAAUAGGAGAAUUGUGGCCCCCAUGACUUCCCCUCCUGUGAUAUUAAACUUGUAUAUUGCAUUAUGUUGUUAAAGGGGCUUUGCAGAAUAUGUGGACAUUUGCUUCUCAAGUAAAUCCAAUUUUAAGCAAGAUGCUUGAUCUGCUGAGGUGGAG
Molecule: long non-coding RNA, 1257 nt
Filed under: Marmota monax (woodchuck)
Lineage: Eukaryota; Metazoa; Chordata; Mammalia; Rodentia; Sciuridae
Source: RNAcentral